UAACGCGUGAGGAACCUGCCUCAAAGAGGGGGACAACAGUUGGAAACGACUGCUAAUACCGCAUAAGCCCACGGCUCGGCAUCGAGCAGAGGGAAAAGGAGCAAUCCGCUUUGAGAUGGCCUCGCGUCCGAUUAGCUAGUUGGUGAGGUAACGGCCCACCAAGGCGACGAUCGGUAGCCGGACUGAGAGGUUGAACGGCCACAUUGGGACUGAGACACGGCCCAGACUCCUACGGGAGGCAGCAGUGGGGAAUAUUGCACAAUGGGGGAAACCCUGAUGCAGCGACGCCGCGUGGAGGAAGAAGGUCUUCGGAUUGUAAACUCCUGUUGUUGAGGAAGAUAAUGACGGUACUCAACAAGGAAGUGACGGCUAACUACGUGCCAGCAGCCGCGGUAAAACGUAGGUCACAAGCGUUGUCCGGAAUUACUGGGUGUAAAGGGAGCGCAGGCGGNAGAACAAGUUGGAAGUGAAAUCCAUGGGCUCAACCCAUGAACUGCUUUCAAAACUGUUUUUCUUGAGUAGUGCNGAGGUAGGCGGAAUUCCCGGUGUAGCGGUGGAAUGCGUANAUAUCGGGAGGAACACCAGUGGCGAAGGCGGCCUACUGUGCACCAACUGACGCUGAGGCUCGAAAGUGUGGGUAGCAAACAGGAUUAGAUACCCUGGUAGUCCACACCGUAAACGAUGAUUACUAGGUGU
Molecule: ribosomal RNA, 696 nt
Filed under: uncultured bacterium
Lineage: Bacteria
Description: bacterial SSU rRNA
Rfam family: Bacterial small subunit ribosomal RNA
Source: RNAcentral